Molecule: small nucleolar RNA, 140 nt
Organism: Gadus morhua (Atlantic cod)
Lineage: Eukaryota; Metazoa; Chordata; Actinopteri; Gadiformes; Gadidae
Product: small nucleolar RNA SNORD10
Source: Ensembl
UGUUAAUGAUGAAAUCCAUGCGUGUCAACUGACUCCGGAAGGUCUCGGUGCCGCAUGGCACCGGUCGGCGUUUUGCCGACCGGACCGCCGCGCGGCACCUACCUCCGGGGCUAUGAUCAGAGACUAACUAGCUGAACACA